Long non-coding RNA from Megalobrama amblycephala (Wuchang bream), 705 nucleotides. RefSeq lists it as uncharacterized. The record is from RefSeq and is a predicted model, not a curated record. Lineage: Eukaryota; Metazoa; Chordata; Actinopteri; Cypriniformes; Xenocyprididae. The transcript has 4 exons.
GUGUGUCCUGUGGGCAAUGAAGGAGUUGAUCAGUCCGUAAUUGGCCUGGACACGCCCAGCCUCAUGCACUAAUGACCCUGCCUUUGUAAUUAGUGAUACCAAUUACUGGCAGCUGCAGCAGCAUGUGAACGAGGCUUUAAAAACACCAUUUGGGGAAAGUAGAGAAGUAGAGAUUGGAGCAUAAAGGCUGGUGCAUGGACUGAGUAGCUGGCAUAUAACUGCUGCAUGCACUUUAUUCAGGGGCAGUUUGCCCUAAAAUGAAUAAUCAGUCAUCAUUUACUCACCCAUAAUGUCAUUCCAAACAUUGGGGAUCAAAACAACACUGGAUCUCAUUGACUUUUAUUGUACAGAGGGAAAACAAACACUGGGGCAUUUUUUCACAGAAAGAAAGUCAUACAGGUUUUGAACAGGAUGAGUAAAUGGAGCGACUAGGGUCAUAAUGACCUCCUUUUUAUUCUCCUUUAUGACAAAUCCAAACCAAGAACACCUAUGUGACAGCAGUUUGUACUUCAUCGUGAAAUCUCUUCAAUGAAAAGCUCUUCUAUUGUGUGGAAAAGCAUUUCAUUUGUUAAACAAAGAGGAGGGCCACCACAACAUCCUGACCAUAAUGGAGACGGAUGACAGCAACAAUCUUGGACAAUGGGGGACAAAGGAGGAUCCGCUGUCAUCCAGAAUUAUUCAUAUAAGAAGGAUCAGCAGUCAAAG